Molecule: RNA transcript, 3089 nt
Organism: Salmo salar (Atlantic salmon)
Lineage: Eukaryota; Metazoa; Chordata; Actinopteri; Salmoniformes; Salmonidae
Gene name: cytoplasmic tRNA 2-thiolation protein 2-like
Source: RefSeq, a predicted model, not a curated record
GUCAUCAAAAUGCGCUAUGUUGUUAUUCCAGGACGAGCCUUUUAACAGCUAUAAGAAAUAGGCUGAAUUAAAUACAUCUCGAAAUAGCUAAAUUAAUCUAAUGAAUUCAUCUAGCUAAAUAGAGUUUCGAAAAACUCUGGUAUCUGCUCACAUAGCUUUAACUGGCUCGCUGGCAAGCUUGAACCGAAAACUGUUACAGCUACAUUCUGCAAUUGUUAGCUAGCAAGCUACAAUAAAUUAGAGCUCUACAUAGCUAGCUAACCCGACCAUGUGCCAGGUUGAUGAGGAAUACAAUGGACAGCUAGAACACAGAGUGACCCUACGUGUCUCCAAGAAGUGUGUCAAAUGCAAAGAAAAUACAACUGUAUUGAUCAUCCGAGCUGGAAAUGCAUUUUGCAGGGGCUGCUUCAAAGAGUACUUCAUACACAAGUUCCGGGCCAUGCUGGGAAAGAACCGGGUCAUAUUCCCAGGAGAGAAGGUUCUUCUUGCAGUGUCUGGAGGGCCAGCCUCUAGCUCCAUGCUGUCACAGGUUCAAGAGGGUUUGAGUCGAGACGCACCCAAGAAGUUGAGAUUUGUCCCUGGAAUUAUCUACAUAGAUGAGGGCGGUGCCAGUGGUCAAAGCAUGGAAGAGCGGAAGAGGGCAUUGGCUCAACUGGAGUCAGUUUUCAGAGCCAGUAAUUACCAUUACCACAUAGUCCACCUGAAGCAGGUACUCAGUCUCCCCAGCUCAGUGCUAGAGGCAGGAUCCUCGGCAACGGAAAAACCUCAGACUGGGUCGAGUUAUAAAGCUGCUGUGGACCACUUCAUCCAGACCAGGAAGAACCAGAACCAGCACCCAGACCUCUCUGUGGAGAAUGUCCAGAGUCACCUGUCCAGUCUGAGCAUGCAGGAGGUCCAGAGUGGAGGAACCAGCCCCAUCACCCCUGAACACACUCAAGCCCUUCAGAGACUGUUUGCCUCUGUGAGGACGCUGACAGCCAAAGAGGAUUUGCUACAUACACUGAGGCAGCACCUGAUUCUCCACACAGCGAGGACGCAGGGCUACACCAAGGUGAUGAUGGGGGACAGCUGCUCCCGCCUGGCCAUCAAACUGCUCAGCAACAUCUCUCUGGGGCGAGGGGCAUCGCUGGCAACGGACACGGCCUUCUCAGAUCCUCGCUACGGAGACGUGGUCAUUGUCAGACCCAUGAGGGACUACUCCUCUAAAGAAAUAGCCUAUUACAACAGAAUGUUUUGACAUCCCUUCAGUCUUCAUCCCUGGCCUAGACUGUAAGGCACAAGACAAGGCCAGCAUCCAGCGCUUGACAGAGAGCUUUGUCACCAAACUCCGGGCUGACUUCCCCUCUACUGUCAGCACAAUCUACAGGACCAGUGACAAGCUCCACACAGCAUGUCCCCCUCAGAACACCAACACACAACUCUCUGCUAAGUGCCUACUGUGUGUCUGUGCCUUGGACACUAAACUAGAGGAGUUCUCUGCCUACCAGGCCACACUGAUCUCAGAGCAGCUGUCUCAGAGGCGAGGCCCACGUCCUGGGUUCACCCCUGGUACAGCAGCAGCUCCAGGGUCGCCUCCAGCCUCCUCGGCAGGCCAGGGCCAGUCCUCUGGAGGGGGCCAGAGUCAGGGCUGUGAGACUGGAGAGGGGGGCUGCUGCCCCUCUGCUAAGGAGCCAGAGACAGUGGAUCUUAAAAGCCUGCUGUGUUACAGUUGUGGACUGACCAUCAAAGACAUGACUGCACGAGAUGCCCUUCCCCAGUACGUACUGUCAGAGGCUGAGAGGAGAAGGUCUCAGAUGAGGGAGAUCAGUGAGUUCCUGCUAGAGGAUGAAGCCAUCCCGAGGGUCAAUGGGUCCUUGUGACAUAACGAAUACCCAGUGUGACUAGACAACUUCCAACGGCACAGACACUGCAGUGACAUUGUUCCCUUGGCAACUAUACAGCCAAGGCUGUUUGUCUUAAUAUGAACUGUAAUACCAGUUGCUUUUAUUAUUUAUUUUCAGUCAGUUUAUUAAUUAUUUGGCUAUAAGACAACUACCGUAAUUUCCGGACUAUUAAGCGCACCUGAAUAUAAGCCGCACCCACUGAAUUAAUUUAAAAAAAAUAUUUUGAACAUAAAUAAGCCGCACAUGUCUAUAAGCCGCAGGUGCCUACCGGUACACUGAAACAAAUGAACUUUACACAGGCUUUAACGAAACACGGCUUGUAACAAAAAUAAAUAGGCUUUAACGAAACACGGCUUGUAACAAAAAUAAAUAGGCUUUAACGAAACACGGCUUGUAACAAAAAAUAAAAAAUUAGCAGUAAGCUUUAGUUGUCUUUUUGCACUGAGUCAAUUCCUCACGCUGCUGUUUCCAACGUCUUAUCAUCGACUCAUUAAGACCAAGCUCCCGUGCAGCAGCUCUAUUUCCUUUUCCAACAGCCAGAUCAAUCGCCUUCAACUUGAAAGCUGCAUCAUAUGCAUUUCUCUGUGUCUUUGCCAUGAGGGUAACAAAAUGACUACCGUAAUCAGAAUGAUGGGAAGUUUGAGAGCGCUCGAUUUCAUCUAAACAAAAAAGUUGUUUGACCGUAACCCGUUCGGCAAUUUCAUUGGUCUAAUGAAAGCUUCAUGCCGCCAAAAAACUGAGCACGUCACAGAAUGUGUUUUUUUGGAGAAAAAAACAAUUGAAAGCGGAAAAAAUCCAUAUAAGCCACGAGGUUCAAAGCCUGGGGAAAAAAGUUGCGGCUUAUAGUCCGGAAUUUACGGUAUAGACAGUUUAAAUCAAUCGUAACUGCACCCAAAAUGAUUUGUACAUGGCACUGCUUGGUGGUGAAUCAAACUAAUGAAUUGAAUAUAUGAUGCUGAAACAGUUUGUUUUUCCAUGUCAGGAAUGAGAAGGAUCAUUUAUUUGUACAGAUGAACAAUAUUUUCAUUGGUUUAGGAGCUGAAUCACAUUAUAUUGGAAAUAGAAAUUAUUAUUCUUCCACAACAGAGAUCCCAUAGCAACAACCUACAUGGUUCUGCAUUAGAACUCCCAUCAGCAUCACGCAGGUUCUCUGAAAAUGAGAGCAAACAUAUGGCAAUAAAGUAUAACACAUGUUUAUUAAAGUUA